This 292-nucleotide ribosomal RNA is filed under the name uncultured bacterium. Its description in RNAcentral is "partial 16S ribosomal RNA". It matches the Rfam family "Archaeal small subunit ribosomal RNA", at positions 455 to 747 of the family's 1478-position model. The record is from RNAcentral.
GUGCCAGCAGCCGCGGUAAUACCGGCAGCCCGAGUGAUGGCCGAUAUUAUUGGGCCUAAAGCGUCCGUAGCUGGCCGAACAAGUCCGUCGGGAAAUCCACUCGCCCAACGAGUGGGCGUCCGAUGGAAACUGCACAGCUUGGGACCGGAAGGCUCGAAGGGUACGUUCGGGGUAGGAGUGAAAUCCCAUAAUCCCGCACGGACCACCGAUGGCGAAAGCACUCUGAGAAGACGGCUUCGACAGUGAGGGACGAAAGCUCGGGUCUCAAACCGGAUUAGAAACCCAGUAGUCC